GAUGAACGCUGGCGGCGUGCCUAAUACAUGCAAGUCGAGCGAACGGACGAGAAGCUUGCUUCUCUGAUGUUAGCGGCGGACGGGUGAGUAACACGUGGAUAACCUACCCAUAAGACUGGGAUAACUUCGGGAAACCGGGGCUAAUACCGGAUAAUAUUUUGAACCGCAUGGUUCAAAAGUGAAAGACGGUCUUGCUGUCACUUAUGGAUGGAUCCGCGCAGCAUUAGCUAGUUGGUAAGGUAACGGCUUACCAAGGCAACGAUGCAUAGCCGACCUGAGAGGGUGAUCGGCCACACUGGAACUGAGACACGGUCCAGACUCCUACGGGAGGCAGCAGUAGGGAAUCUUCCGCAAUGGGCGAAAGCCUGACGGAGCAACGCCGCGUGAGUGAUGAAGGUCUUCGGAUCGUAAAACUCUGUUAUUAGGGAAGAACAUAUGUGUAAGUAACUGUGCACAUCUUGACGGUACCUAAUCAGAAAGCCACGGCUAACUACGUGCCAGCAGCCGCGGUAAUACGUAGGUGGCAAGCGUUAUCCGGAAUUAUUGGGCGUAAAGCGCGCGUAGGCGGUUUUUUAAGUCUGAUGUGAAAGCCCACGGCUCAACCGUGGAGGGUCAUUGGAAACUGGAAAACUUGAGUGCAGAAGAGGAAAGUGGAAUUCCAUGUGUAGCGGUGAAAUGCGCAGAGAUAUGGAGGAACACCAGUGGCGAAGGCGACUUUCUGGUCUGUAACUGACGCUGAUGUGCGAAAGCGUGGGGAUCAAACAGGAUUAGAUACCCUGGUAGUCCACGCCGUAAACGAUGAGUGCUAAGUGUUAGGGGGUUUCCGCCCCUUAGUGCUGCAGCUAACGCAUUAAGCACUCCGCCUGGGGAGUACGACCGCAAGGUUGAAACUCAAAGGAAUUGACGGGGACCCGCACAAGCGGUGGAGCAUGUGGCUUAAUUCGAAGCAACGCGAAGAACCUUACCAAAUCUUGACAUCCUUUGACAACUCUAGAGAUAGAGCCUUCCCCUUCGGGGGACAAAGUGACAGGUGGUGCAUGGUUGUCGUCAGCUCGUGUCGUGAGAUGUUGGGUUAAGUCCCGCAACGAGCGCAACCCUUAAGCUUAGUUGCCAUCAUUAAGUUGGGCACUCUAAGUUGACUGCCGGUGACAAACCGGAGGAAGGUGGGGAUGACGUCAAAUCAUCAUGCCCCUUAUGAUUUGGGCUACACACGUGCUACAAUGGACAAUACAAAGGGCAGCGAAACCGCGAGGUCAAGCAAAUCCCAUAAAGUUGUUCUCAGUUCGGAUUGUAGUCUGCAACUCGACUACAUGAAGCUGGAAUCGCUAGUAAUCGUAGAUCAGCAUGCUACGGUGAAUACGUUCCCGGGUCU
Molecule: ribosomal RNA, 1372 nt
Filed under: uncultured bacterium
Lineage: Bacteria
Description: bacterial SSU rRNA
Rfam family: Bacterial small subunit ribosomal RNA
Source: RNAcentral